This 98-nucleotide transfer RNA is filed under the name Streptomyces hesseae. RNAcentral describes it as "Streptomyces sp. DSM 40473 tRNA-OTHER". Lineage: Bacteria; Bacillati; Actinomycetota; Actinomycetes; Kitasatosporales; Streptomycetaceae. The record is from RNAcentral.
GCCCGCCUGACCCAAGGGAGAGGUGCGCGGCCACUGCGCGGCCACUGCGCUGCGGUUAUGCCGCAGAGAUCCCGGUUCGAACCCGGGGGCGGGCACCA